RNAcentral lists this ribosomal RNA (388 nucleotides) under uncultured eukaryote. Its description in RNAcentral is "SSU rRNA". It matches the Rfam family "Eukaryotic small subunit ribosomal RNA", at positions 567 to 950 of the family's 1831-position model. The record is from RNAcentral.
CCAGCAGCCGCGGUAAUUCCAGCUCCAAUAGCGUAUAUUAAAGUUGUUGCAGUUAAAAGGCUCGUAGUCGAAUCUAUGGCUUUGUGCACCUAACCGUUUCUCUAGUAGAAAGUGUGUUGGUUGUGCACAAGUCAUCCUUCUGGACUGUGCGUCUGCCCUUGAUUGGGUGGGGCGUUUUACAUCCAGAUCCUUUACUGUGAGAAAAUCAGAGUGUUCAAAGCAGGUUAGGUAGCCUGAAUGGUACAGCAUGGAAUAAUAAGAUAGGACUUUGGUUCUAUUUUGUUGGCUGUGGGACCAAAGUAAUGAUUGAAAGGGAUAGUUGGGGGUGCUAGUAUUUAACGGUCAGCGGUGAAAUGCAUGGACCCGUUAAAGACUAACGUAUGCGAAA